RNAcentral lists this long non-coding RNA (504 nucleotides) under Numida meleagris (helmeted guineafowl). RNAcentral describes it as "lncRNA (ENSNMEG00000015210.1)". The record is from RNAcentral. Lineage: Eukaryota; Metazoa; Chordata; Aves; Galliformes; Numididae.
AUUGUCCUAAACUUCAGAAUAGUGUAAUUGCAGAUGGAAUUAUCAGAACUUCUUACUCUAUUGACAUUUUUCUAUAUCUAUUAGAUUUACCUUGUUGAUUUUCCUCCUAGGCAUUGUUUUAUGUGGAGUGUUGAAGACAGAAGAUUGUUCUAGAUGACGUGCUACUCAUCAUGAGGACCCUACAAUGAGAAAAUUGUUAUAAAAACCCUACAAGAUUUUUCUGUGCAGAGGAGAGGCAUAUCUGUUACUAACAUUUCACGGAACAGAGAAAUCUCUUCCUGAAUGUGAUUGAGGAGCUUCAUCCUGGAAUUUUUUCAGAACUACAUGAAUAAUUUACAACAGCAAAAACACCACCACCACCAACAACAACAACAACAACAAAAUCCACAAGGAUCAUUCAAAAACUUUUAUUCCGUUAAAAAAGUAGUAAAGGGACAAGGUCCCUGGAGGAACGCAACACGGAGCACUGAAGAGACAGAAGACAGUACACCAGUAUGGCAUUAA